UACAGAGGGUGCGAGCGUUAAUCGGAAUUACUGGGCGUAAAGCGCGCGUAGGUGGUUAUUUAAGUUGGACGUGAAAUCCCUGAGCUUAACUUAGGAAUGGCGUUCAAAACUGGAUGACUGGAGUGGAGUAGAGGUGAGUGGAAUUUCCGGAGUAGCGGUGAAAUGCGUAGAUACCGGAAGGAACACCAGUGGCGAAGGCGACUCACUGGACUCUAACUGACACUGAGGCGCGAAAGCGUGGGGAGCAAAC
Molecule: ribosomal RNA, 250 nt
Filed under: uncultured bacterium
Lineage: Bacteria
Description: partial 16S ribosomal RNA
Rfam family: Bacterial small subunit ribosomal RNA
Source: RNAcentral